AUGAACAUAUUUAAAAAAGCUCAUAAACGACGUCUGUGUGACGGCAGCCUGGCGCUCCACCCCAUCGACGUCUGCCACCGGAGCCUGCUGUACGGCCUGCCGCGCGAGAUGGUUAAGGGGCGGGAAGACGAGUUCAUCCGCUCCGCCACGGAGCUGGACCAGGCGGGCAUCCGGUUCGCGAGGAGCUCCACGCGCAGCCUCCACGACAUCGGCUUCCUCGACGGCGCGCUCCACGUCCCGGAGCUCACCGUGGACGACUACACGGAGCACAAGCUCUUCAGCCUGAUGGCCUUCGAGCGCCUGCACGCUGGCGCCGGUGCCAACGAGGUGACGGCCUACGUCUUCUUCAUGGACAACAUCAUCAAGUCGGCCGCCGACGCCCAGCUCGUCUGCUCCAAGAGGAUCAUCUCCAAUGGCCUCGGCAGCGACAAGGAGGUGGCCAGGAUGUUCAACCGCCUGGCCAACGAAGCGGAGCUGGACAAGUACAGCCCGCUCCGCACCCUGCACGGCCAGGUCAACACCUACUGCGAGAAGCGCCGAAACCAGUGGCGAGCGAGCCUCAUCCGGAACCACGCCGCCAAUCCCUGGGCCGCCGUCCUCCUCCUCGCCCUCACCGUCCUGCAGACCGUCUACACCGUGCUGCCCUACUACCAACAGCAACCAUAA
Molecule: ribosomal RNA, 666 nt
Filed under: Triticum aestivum (bread wheat)
Lineage: Eukaryota; Viridiplantae; Streptophyta; Magnoliopsida; Poales; Poaceae
Description: partial small subunit ribosomal RNA
Source: RNAcentral